RNAcentral lists this long non-coding RNA (536 nucleotides) under Malus domestica (apple). RNAcentral's name for it is "long non-coding RNA (MDOM_LNC000096)". Lineage: Eukaryota; Viridiplantae; Streptophyta; Magnoliopsida; Rosales; Rosaceae. The record is from RNAcentral.
UAUCUUCUUUGUUAUAACUCCAAAUUGCAUUUUGUUUGUUCCCACAUGUUUGUAGCGACGAGUAAUACGAGGAUAGGCUAAGAAAAUGAAUCUUACAUAACUCGACAAGGUAAAACAAGCACACAAAUUAAAACCCUUUUUUGACAAUUGUAGUAUGUGUAUAAGUAGGGAUCGUUCUAAACCGGGGAUUAGGAGGGAUUGCUAAUCUAAACUAAACUGACCUAAAAACAUAAAAACUAGACUCUAAAACUCUAACUAAGGUUAUAUGACUCAAACAACCUUAAAAGACUCAAAACAGCGUUAAACAAUCAAAUUGACUCAAACUAGACACUAGAGAUGACCUUGAGCGAAAAUUGAUUUGAUUAUGACUCAAGACACUCAAAAACACAAAAUAACAUAGAUUCUAACCUAAUUGACACUUAAAACAAAGGGGGGGGGGGUUUGGUUUUGAUGAAACUAAACUAAAACAAGACAGAAACUAAACUAGACAAAGUUUGGCACGAAUUUGGAUUUCUGGAUGGUUUGUGUGCUUAGCU